Pimephales promelas (fathead minnow) is the source of this 566-nucleotide non-coding RNA. Lineage: Eukaryota; Metazoa; Chordata; Actinopteri; Cypriniformes; Leuciscidae. The record is from RefSeq and is a predicted model, not a curated record.
UUAACACGCAUAAGAAAUUAAUUAAGUUUACUCAAUUAAAAUGUAUUUUACUGUCUAUGAUUACAACAACGCACCCCUCCCCACCCUCUGACGUGACGACAACUCAACGGUUGAACUUGAGUGAGCGCUGUUUGAACUUGCGGUUGCGCGCUGUUUGAACUCUCCCAGUCCAGAAAAGAACAGAUCUCUUCUCCUCUUCUCUUCUCAUCGGCGCAGAAUUGGAGCAUUUCCACCUGAAAUUAAGGUUAUGGAGUCAGUCGCGUCGCAGCAUUUUUCGGCUGUGAGUGACGCAGGACGGCGGUAUAAAUUUAGAAGUUUCCCCGCAGAGGCGAGUCCAUCUCCGGCAUGGGAACCAGCGCUGACCCGGUGAAUACUGGAUAACAGACCGGUUAUUACACUUGAAUUACUUUAAUGUUUAGGCCUAAAUGUUUAAUUUUUACAUCGAAAAUGUUUCUUACAUGAGUUUAGAUGUAGUCAAUAUUGUAUAACUUAUGUGUUAAAAAUAGAAUAAAAUAUGUUUGCUGUAAUGUUAGGAUAUUAAUUGACAAUAAAGGCCGUGUCAUGUA